CGCUCACCAAGCGGGACAACCUGUCGGCCCUAGCAUUUUCGCUUCUGGGGACCUGCUGGAUGUCGACACUGCCGAGAUCGGGAAUGAGUGCUUGCACCUUCCGGACGUAGUUCUGCAUGGUCGGGCUCCGGGCCUCGAACUCCCCACGGACCUGCCCGACCACCAGCUGGGAGUCGGUGAAGACCUUCAAACGCCGGAUGCCGA
RNAcentral lists this long non-coding RNA (204 nucleotides) under Phoenix dactylifera (date palm). RNAcentral describes it as "long non-coding RNA (PDAC_LNC010806)". Lineage: Eukaryota; Viridiplantae; Streptophyta; Magnoliopsida; Arecales; Arecaceae. The record is from RNAcentral.